UUACUACAUUUUUACUCAAAAUUUGCUUGCUUGAAACACACAUACACAAAAGAACAACACUCAAAUACACACACGCUCCAUUUUAGGACUUUUCUAUGACUUCCUAUCCUUGUUUGAUUUUUUCCCAUUCUACUCGUUACCUAGUCCUUUCUCUUGCUAAUUGAUUUAUUUGAAGAUUUUAAAGGUCAAAGUUUAUUAUUGCCUUUAAAAAUGUGCACUAAAAAAUAGAACAAAGACUAUACUGAGGAAUUAGCUAGAUGCUAUGCAAAACCCAGAAGUCUUUCCAGUUUCUACUUACAGGAUUUAAAAUUGUGCUUUUGAAAAGAGAUGAAACUAAGGGGAGAAAAGAAGAAAAGAGCAUCAUCAGAGCAAAGAAAAAGAAGUCUGAAGUGUCCAAAGAUGUUAUGUUAGCUUUUCUUUUCAACAGAUUAAAAUAAUCCAAAAGACUCUGAAACACAGCAACUUUCUACGUAGGGUGUGUUGGAAAUGAUGUGUCAGCUUAAAGAUGUUUUUCUUAAAAAGUAGCUCUUUUCAUCCUUAUAAUGUCAGACUGAGGAUAUUGUAGAAGAGGGGGAUGUGUAGCUUGAGGAAACUUGGUGCCUGAGUUACAGGUUAAAGUAAAAGUGUUAUGAAAUAGUGGCUUGCACACAGCCUGAUGUGGGGUCGGCUGUGAUGGCAAAGAUCCCCGCAACACACGUUCCGUGUUCUAGUCGAGCUGUGCACUUUUCUGCUGUGUGCCAUUACUUUAAGGGGAGAAAGAGUGAGGGUUUCUCCUAGAAAAAUGUUGGUUCCCAGGCCUACGUGUGUCUGCCACUCUCAGACUGUGUGAGGGGCCGCCUUCCCCUCUCCAGUGCUGGAUGCCAGGCCAGGUUUCUGAGAUGCAGGGCUGUCUCAGAGCACGGGGAUGAUGACGGCAUGACAGCGGUGCCUUUGCUGCAUGUUUUGUCUGAGCCAAGCACAGGCCUGUGCCGUUUAUUCAUCUUCAUCAUCCCUCUACCUCACCAGUCAGCUAAACCGCAUCUUUAGCCGCGCUGCUGGCCUGUGGAGGAGGAAGCUUCUUUCCUGUUGGGCUCCCUGUGAGCGGGCCUUCCAUGCUUUGGCGGAGGCGUGCAUCAUGGUCAAGCUGACAGCGCUUGAUCACGUAUCAAACAUGGGACCCUCAGCGGAUCACUCAACUUCUCUGAGUCUCAGGAGCUUCCUCUGCAAAACAAGACACAUAAGCUAUGCAGAGCCCUCCCUGUGGUGCCCGGCACUUGAAAACCUGUUUACCAGUAAUGCAGUUCAUAAAAUUAUUCCUGAGCACCUCCCAUAUGUGGAGAGGGGGCUUCCCGCUGAAAACCUGCCGCCUUGUGCUCCGCCUGCUCUGGCUCGGUUGACUGCGAGGACUCUUCGCGUCUCCAUGAGGGAGUUUGGACAGGACUUGUCAUCAUGGUUGGAAGAACUUUCUCUGAAUUCUCUUCGUGAGGAAGUUGAUGUCUUGGACACAGUAUUAUUUUCCUUUGAGGGACUGUUUCCUGUUAAAAGGAAUUUAGUUUUUCAUAAAGAACCUCCAAAUUUGCUAAAAACUGGUUUAAUAAUCUGUUUUAUUUCCUGUGUCAAGUAUCAAUGCGUGAAAAAUUUUUGAAUAUCAUGGUUAAUCCGUGGACUGCUGAACACAACAGACUGAGCAUCAUGUCAGAGGUGCACCUUGUGAUUUGUGAAAAAUGUUGAACCUACAGAAAAAUUGAAAAAGUAAUAUAAUCCUGGUAAUGUUUACUAGACUCGGUGAAUGUCUUCACAUUUUGCACUUUUGUGCACGAACACAUGCAAACAUCCCUGCCCCUCCAUCAGGAGUCGUUUGAGUCUGUCGCUCACAGUAAGAUUCAGGCUAAACAUCUUUGGAAAGACUGUAAAACAGCAGAGGCCGCAGUGCUUUUGGAUGAGAUCGGGAGGUGACAGGCAUCCCCUCUGACAUAAGUGAAGAACGUGGUGGUCCUCCCUCAGCUCAGGAGAGAAGCUGACACGGAGCCGGGGAAAGUGGGCUGAGCUCACGCACAGGCUGAACUUACUCAAAGAGGACUGAAAAAUCAUGGGCUUUUCCGCCUUCUUGAUGACAGAAGCAGAUUAAAUUUGUGGCCAAUUGUAUUGAUUGGGCAGAAACAGCUUUCAAAGGACACGAGGAGGAGGCUGCAGAGCACAGUAUUCUUGGUGUGGUCACGAGGUUUCUCCUGCAGCCAUGGUCUGGGGGUGACCCACCCACAGCUCAGCCCUGCUCAGCUCUCUCUGGUUACUCGAUAGGCCCUUGUUCGUCCACCUAAGAGAGUCACAAGACCUUAGAC
RNAcentral lists this long non-coding RNA (2318 nucleotides) under Equus caballus (horse). RNAcentral describes it as "lncRNA (ENSECAG00000033726.3)". Lineage: Eukaryota; Metazoa; Chordata; Mammalia; Perissodactyla; Equidae. The record is from RNAcentral.